Molecule: long non-coding RNA, 202 nt
Filed under: Manihot esculenta (cassava)
Lineage: Eukaryota; Viridiplantae; Streptophyta; Magnoliopsida; Malpighiales; Euphorbiaceae
Description: long non-coding RNA (MESC_LNC007175)
Source: RNAcentral
CGCCAUUCCUCACCAUCCUUGAGUUCUUUCCUCCAAAUCUUUCAAGUUUUUCACAAGCUUUUGCUUUGUUUUGAAGAUUUUCGAGUUUAACGCAAGUUUUGGAGCUUUAAGGUUCAAGAACUCAAAAUCUCCCACCUUCGAGUUUAGGACGUCUCUCUCUCGAUCUUCAAGAGGUAAGAGCCGAUCUUAAGCUCAUUUCAUG